UACGUACCGUACGAACGUUAUUCGGAAUUACUGGGCGUAAAGGGCUCGUAGGCGGCCAACUAAGUCACACGUGAAAUCCCCAGGCUUAACCUGGGAACUGCGUGUGAUACUGGAUGGCUUGAAUUCGGGAGAGGGAUGCAGAAUUCCAGGUGUAGCGGUGAAAUGCGUAGAUAUCUGGAGGAAUACCGGUGGCGAAGGCGGCAUCCUGGACGAUGACUGACGCUGAGACGCGAAAGCGUGGGGAGCAAACAGG
RNAcentral lists this ribosomal RNA (253 nucleotides) under uncultured bacterium. RNAcentral describes it as "partial 16S ribosomal RNA". It matches the Rfam family "Bacterial small subunit ribosomal RNA", at positions 524 to 776 of the family's 1533-position model. The record is from RNAcentral.